CACGUAGGUGGGAGAGCAAGUCGGGUGUGAAAGCCCUCGGCCCAACCGAGGAAUUGCGCCCGAAACUGCUUUUCUUGAGGAUAGGAGGGGAGCGUGGAAUUCCUGGUGGAGCGGUGAAAUGCGUUGAUAUCAGGAGGAACACCGGCGGCGAAGGCGACGCUCUGGCCUAUUUCUGACGCUAAGGUGCGAAAGCCAGGGGAGCAAACG
RNAcentral lists this ribosomal RNA (207 nucleotides) under uncultured bacterium. RNAcentral describes it as "partial 16S ribosomal RNA". It matches the Rfam family "Bacterial small subunit ribosomal RNA", at positions 568 to 774 of the family's 1533-position model. The record is from RNAcentral.